GUUGGUAGAAACCCUGAAACAUCUGAUUUUGAAUAUUAUAAGAAGAAGAAAAUUUGUGAUAUAUACACUUUUCUGACAGACACAGAAGUCGUAAUCAACGGCUAGGCCCAUUGGCAGUUUCGAUGCUUCAUCUGCCUGGACAAGUUUAGAGUCAAGUAAUCUUAGGACAAGCUUCAUCCACACAACAUUUACUGCCUACAAUAAUACAGCAAGACUGUUCAGAGCCAUAUGUGAGCAACUUUAUUUUAGAAAAAGCAUCAACUUCAACAACAUUCCAACCUGUGGCUGCAGAUGCAUCUCAACAAUUUACUUCAGCAAGGUGCUGGUGAUGCUGGAACAUAGUCUUAUUAGCAAGCCUGAAAGAACAGCUGGAAAAGAUCUAAUGGCUCCACAGCGCACAAAGAUCAAGCAUCUUCAAGCAGAAAUAUCGCGCUUGCGAAAAAAAGGACAAUCUUUCAAAGCAAGGUUAAAAGGUGGUGCAGAUCGAUCAAUCGAAUUUUGUCCGGAAAAUUAACAUAUGUGGGUGAAGACGAAACAAAAACAGAUGCCCAACAAUAUUAUG
Long non-coding RNA from Leptidea sinapis, 562 nucleotides. RefSeq lists it as uncharacterized. The record is from RefSeq and is a predicted model, not a curated record. The transcript is spliced from 5 exons. NCBI's taxonomy places the organism in Eukaryota, Metazoa, Arthropoda, Insecta, Lepidoptera, Pieridae.